Molecule: long non-coding RNA, 490 nt
Organism: Eriocheir sinensis (Chinese mitten crab)
Lineage: Eukaryota; Metazoa; Arthropoda; Malacostraca; Decapoda; Varunidae
Exons: 3
Source: RefSeq, a predicted model, not a curated record
UCACCACUAACACCACCAAAACUCAUCACCAGUAACAUUCAUCACCACCACCACCACCACCACCACCACUCAAUUUCAUCACCACUAACACCACCAAAACUCAUCACCAGUAACAUUCAUCACCACUAACACCACCACCAUUACUCAAUUUCAUCACCACUAACACCACCAAAACUCAUCACCAGUAACAUUCAUCACCACUAACACCACCACCACCACCAUCAAUAAGUUAGGGCAGGUUAAGUUAGGUUCAAUAUCACCACCACCACCACUACUAACACCACCACUCAAAUUCAUCACCACUAACACCACCAAACCUCAUCACCAGUAUCAUUCAUCACCACUCACCACCACUAACACCACCACCACCAUCAAUAAGUUAGGUUCAAUAUCACCACCACCACCACCACCACCACUCAAAUUCAUCACCACUAACACCACCAAAACUCAUCACCAGUAACAUUCAUCACCACCACCAGUACCCCCCCCC